AUGGACUUCACUAAAUUCCUUAUCACACUGCUGCUGGUCUGUCUUCUAAUCUAUGAAUCCUAUGUGGAUGCAGCAUCGGAAGAACAAGAUUUCUCAAGAACUUGUUCAUCUCACCACUGCAGCAAACAUGGACCUGAGAUCCGGUUCCCGUUCCGGCUUUCGAUCAACCCACCAUCAUGUGGUGCACCAGGCAUGCAGUUAUCAUGCUCGGGGCAUGACACAAUCCUGGAUCACCAUGUUCUUGGCCCUUGCAGAGUGACUGAGAUCUAUUACAGGCACCGUGUCAUCAACGUCGUCCCGCUAGUGGAACCAUCAAUGCAAUGCCCACUUCAGAAGCUCAUCUCAAGAAACUUAGCAACUGAUGUCUACGAACAACCUCAAUCAUCAUUUCCUACAACCCUAGUACGUUGUUCAAGAGAUUUCAUACCAAUAGAUCAAGAUAGUAUAGUUGGCCCAGCCUUUUGUCUGGGCAACAACGCUAGUCAAUUCUGGUAUUUGGCAUCAGCUUCUGCAUACAUGUCUGAUGUUCCAUGGGACUGUGUGGCCGUUUCUAAAGAUAUACCGAUACCCUUCACCUAUGAUAAACAUGGCAUAAAUUACGAUGAGUUCACCUUCAAUGAAAAAGCCAAUAGAGUCAUCAACAUUGGUGAAACAACAUUCAAAUGGUACGGCAAUAACAUUACGAAUGCCUGCCAACAGUGUGAAUAUGAAGAUCAACACUGUGGAUUCAACUCACGAACGCAUCAAGCAUUCUGCCAGCAGCAAGGUACGCAUGUCAUCCUAGUUGCAGCCUCAUCUGUAGCUGCAUUUGUAGUUCUUUCAUUGAUUGUGGCCACUGUGAUAUAUCUCUCCUUGAAGUCAAGGUACAAUGAAGAGAUAAAUAUGAAGGUUGAAAUGUUUCUCAAGGCAUAUGGCACAUCGAAACCUACAAGAUACAAUUUCCCUGAUGUUAAGAAGAUAGCAAGAAGGUUCAAGGAUAAACUCGGUCAGGGCGGAUUCGGAAGUGUGUACAAAGGCAAGCUACCAAAUGGAGUACCUGUGGCAGUCAAGAUGCUAGAGAGUUCUACAGGAGAGGGGGAGGAAUUCAUCAAUGAAGUUGCAACCAUUGGACUAAUCCACCAUGCAAAUAUCGUACGCCUCUUGGGCUUUUGCUCUGAAGGAAUGAGGCGGGCUCUUAUUUACGAAUUCAUGCCUAACGAGUCACUGGAGAAAUACAUAUUCUCACACAUUUCCGAUAUUUCUCGACAGCUCCUUGCACCCAACAAAAUGCUAGAUAUUGCUCUAGGCAUUGCCCGAGGAAUAGAAUACCUGCAUCAAGGGUGCAACCAGCGCAUUCUCCACUUUGACAUCAAACCACAUAACAUCUUGCUGGACUACAACUUCAACCCAAAGAUCUCAGACUUUGGCCUUGCCAAGCUGUGUGCAAGGGACCAGAGCAUCGUCACCUUGACUGCAGCAAGAGGCACCAUGGGAUACAUCGCACCAGAGGUAUACUCUCGGAACUUUGGAGGGGUGUCUUACAAGUCGGAUGUAUACAGUUUCGGCAUGCUGGUAUUGGAAAUGGUGAGUGGAAGGAGGAAUUCAGAUCCUGGUGUUGAGAACCAGGACGAGAUAUAUCUCCCGGAGUGGAUCUACGAGAGAGUAAUCAGUGGGCAUGAAUGGGAGCUUACUUUGGAAAUGACAGCAGAAGACAAGGAGAAGAUGAGACAGCUGACUAUUGUGGCACUGUGGUGCAUCCAAUGGAACCCGAAGAAUCGGCCAUCAAUGACAAAGGUGGUAAACAUGUUAACAGGGAGGUUGCAGAACCUGCAGAUUCCCCCCAAGCCCUUUGUGUCGUCUGAAAAUCAUACUGUGCCACAAAACACGAUGAACACAUGA
This 1878-nucleotide ribosomal RNA is filed under the name Triticum aestivum (bread wheat). RNAcentral's name for it is "partial small subunit ribosomal RNA". The record is from RNAcentral. Lineage: Eukaryota; Viridiplantae; Streptophyta; Magnoliopsida; Poales; Poaceae.